UACGUAGGGUGCUAGCGUUAAUCGGAAUUAUUGGGCGUACAGGGCGCGUAGGCGGAUUGGUAAGUUGGAUGUGAAAUCCCAGAGCUCAACUCUGGAACCGCAUCCAAAACUGUCGAUCUAGAGGGUAGAUGGGGAAAAUGGAAUUCCACAAGUAGCGGUGAAAUGCGUAGAUAUGUGGAAGAACACCUGUGGCGAAAAGCGGUUUUCCAAUUUACACCUGACGCUGAGGCGCGAAAGCAAGGGAGUCAAACAGG
This 254-nucleotide ribosomal RNA is filed under the name uncultured bacterium. RNAcentral describes it as "partial 16S ribosomal RNA". It matches the Rfam family "Bacterial small subunit ribosomal RNA", at positions 524 to 776 of the family's 1533-position model. The record is from RNAcentral.